UACGAAGGAUGCAAGCGUUAUCCGGAUUCAUUGGGUUUAAAGGGAGCGUAGGUGGCCUUGUAAGUCAGUGGUGAAAUCCUGUCGCUUAACGAUAGAAUUGCCAUUGAUACUGCAGGGCUUGAGUACAGUUGCCGUUGGCGGAAUAUGACAUGUAGUGGUGAAAUACAUAGAUAUGUCAUAGAACACCGAUUGCGAAGGCAGAUGACGAAACUGUAACUGACACUGAGGCUCGAAAGUGUGGGGAUCAAACAGG
This 253-nucleotide ribosomal RNA is filed under the name uncultured bacterium. RNAcentral's name for it is "partial 16S ribosomal RNA". It matches the Rfam family "Bacterial small subunit ribosomal RNA", at positions 524 to 776 of the family's 1533-position model. The record is from RNAcentral.